RNAcentral lists this ribosomal RNA (460 nucleotides) under uncultured bacterium. RNAcentral describes it as "partial 16S ribosomal RNA". It matches the Rfam family "Bacterial small subunit ribosomal RNA", at positions 338 to 795 of the family's 1533-position model. The record is from RNAcentral.
CCUACGGGGGGCAGCAGUGAGGAAUAUUGGUCAAUGGGCGCGAGUCUGAACCAGCCAAGCCGCGUGCAGGAUGACUGCCCUAUGGGUUGUAAACUUCUUUUAUAAAGGAAUAAAGUCAGGUACGUGUGUCUUUUUGUAUGUAUUUUAUGAAUAAGGAUCGGCUAACUCCGUGCCAGCAGCCGCGGUAAUACGGAGGAUUCGAGCGUUAUCCGGAUUUAUUGGGUUUAAAGGGUGCGUAGAUGGGUUGUUAAGUCAGUGGUGAAAGUUUGCGGCUCAACUGUAGAAUUGCAAUUGAUACUGGCAGUCUUGAGUACAGUUGAGGUAGGCGGAAUUCAUGGUGUAGCGGUGAAAUGCUUAGAGAUCACGAAGAACUCCGAUUGCAAAGGCAACUUACUAAGCUACCACUGACGUUGAUGCUCGAAAGUGUGGGGAUCAAACAGGAUUAGAUACCCUAGUAGUC